RNAcentral lists this long non-coding RNA (2048 nucleotides) under Paramuricea clavata. Lineage: Eukaryota; Metazoa; Cnidaria; Anthozoa; Malacalcyonacea; Plexauridae. The record is from RNAcentral.
UAGCUAAUCAACAUAGAUGUUAAUAUUACCUGUAUAUAGAUUACUACCUUAGUUUGUUAGUUCAUAUAAUACUAUAUAUCUUAUAUAAUUUUGUAAAUAGUUUUAAAAUUCUUUUCUGUAUACUUUUCGCACGCCCCUCGUGGAAAUCAGCUUCGGUUGACGGGGUCAGCGUGAUUAAAUAAAGUUUAUCUAUCUAUCUAAAACGUCCGAAAUUUUUUUGCGUGCUAUGACGCCAUCCUGGAGUGCUCCCGGCACUUUGUACCUAUGUUUUCCUAUGAAAAACUUCUGUGUGCACUCCAGGAUGGCGUCUUAUGAUGGCGUAUUUUCACGUCAGCACUCGUAAAAUUUCGGACAAAAUAUCGUCUGAGUGACAUUCUGAGUGACACUUCUGGUCCUGUAUCUAUUCUGUGCCAUAGCCAUCACUGUCGAUUACGUAUCGAAAUCACUGAUAUAGAUCGAAAUCACGCAUUCUUCGUCGGAUAUCCAACUGUUCAUGAAGCAUUCAUUAGUGUUGUAUUUUACCAUCAAGUGCGAAAAUCCAUUCCAGAAGGCGGCACAAGGGGAGGGGAUUAAAGCCACCAGACAGAGUUUAAAUGCUUCAGAUUGAUAGGGGUGCAACAACUACCUUUGGCUUUGGCAGAAAUUAAUUUCCUACAAAUAUUUUUGCGACUAUGGAAAUUUGUACUACUCUAACCUCUCUCCUCCGCAGAGCCUCCUUAAGUAUUUACAAAUAACUUACAUGAAGUUCCCUGAAUAAAAAUGAGCGCGCGCGGUGUGAUGGGAAGAUUGAAUGAAGCUCUUCCCAUCACUCCUUGCGCGCUCACUUUUCCCUCACUAGAAACUUCAUGUAAGCCUCUGCGGAGGAGAGAGCUACUCUAACAACUAAUAUUUUUGCGACUAUGGAAAUUUGUACUACUCUAAACCGCAAACAAAUUCUGGCGAGUCGGCGCAAACUGACUCUUUGUGAAUCGAGAACCAUACAAAUUUCUGAUUGAAACACGCUUUCUAACUGCAGAAUCCCUGUCUGUCAUAAAUUUGCUGUGAAAAUUUAGCCAAGAUUUCUGUGCAUUUUUCCAAAGAGAAGGUCUUUCCUGUGCAAAAUAAACCUGAAAAGGUAUGAUAAAGGUAUUUAGCUCAAAGGAAAUCAUGACCGCGAAGGAAUUUGUAUACCCGGUGCAAAAUGAUAAGUCAUAAGUGCCGAUUUUCGAGUUUUUUACCAUUUUAGAAUGCGCAAAAUUAAAUGCGCAAAUAAAAAACUGAGCGACAUUAGCUCGUACGUGAUUUUAUAUGCAAGUAAAGUGCAUUAUAAAUAACGAAUUAUUGUGUUUAUAAUGUUAGGAAACGGUGUCUGUUAUCAGCAAACGUACUAUUGGUAAACUGAUAGUGAAACAUUGCGGGAACGAAGGUCAGCAAGACGAUCCAACGCUCGUUGUUACCCUCAGACGAAUUCUCCAAGCGACGAUCACGAAACUGGACACAGAAUCUGAAGAGACUUGGAAGAAUGCCGAGAUUGUUAUUUACGAUCAGCAAGGGAAUGACUUUUGUAUUCGCUCGGGAAAUUUCGUAAAUAAAUUUGUUGUCCAACUCGACGAAAAAGAUGAAAUUAAUAUAACUUGUAGUAUAUAUAGAUUAUAUAUAGUGAGUAUAUAUACAUUUUAAGACCUAACCAGGAACGACUGCGAAAAAUGCAGCACAAGGUCCUCUGGUAUGAAUUGAACCUACGGCCCUGCGAUUCCGGUGCAGCGCUGUAACCAACUGAGCUACAGAGGCCAGCUGUUUAGCUGUAACCGUAAGUUCAUGUAUAUAUAGGUAAUCGGGUGUGCGGGUUGUGACAAGGUGGACUUCAAUGAUUUCUCAGCUUUUCUACUUUGUUGUUUGCUAGCGCAAACUGUAUCAGAACCACUACGUUUAAGCGGCCGAGUGCUAGUCUGGUUAUUAUGCGUGUUAUAUAUAGCUAGCACAAUACGGGCUUCAAUUUUGGCUCUUUUCAUUACUUGUCUUGUCAUCAGUUAGUUGUACCUCAUGUCGCUAACUGCUUGGUUGAGCUU